UUCAUAAAAUGUGUUUCCUUCCCUCCUUCCCUGCAACCCACCACACCAUCACGAUACCUCUUCAUUCUCUGCUCCAUGUGGUCCUGCUGGCAUCCAGCCCUGCAAGGUUUCCCCCAUAAACCUUGGUUUCCACUAAGUCAACAGCAGAAAAGAACUCCAGAUAAAUCCACUAAAUAUCACGUUUUAAACAUCUCUCAAAACUAUCAUUUAUAUGCCUAUUUCUACUGUAAGAGAAAACCUUCAUCUAGAAAAAUAACAAAGGAAACACUAAUCAUUUCAUUUAAUUUUCUUUAGCCUUCUAUUAGAGACUUUGAUGGGAUUGCUAGUGGCAAACUUACUUUGAUUUAGCUACAGUUCAAUAAAUGAUAGCUACAAUAACCUUGGCUCCAAGUGAACUACCUGAACUCUGAUUCAGGAGCUGAUGCAAGGAAACCAGAAAGUAGCCUAGUUAUCUGUACUUUCCUUAACUGAAAGCCACAAUUCUGUGCCAUAGAAUAAAUACCUUUCAAUCCUAGGCUACGAAAUCCUUAAAGAGAUGGCAUUUAAAAAAAAUCACACAAAGAUAUACAAUAUGAUUAUCACUAUAGAUAUACAAUAUGAUUAUAAUAUAUAUCAUAUCAUUACAUUAUAUAUCAUAUCAUUAUAUACACUUAUUUAUAUAUAUACUAUAUCUUUUAAGAUUUUUCAGGCCUAAGCAAAUACUGAACAUCAAUAGCUUGUUAAAAUGUCAAAAGUUAGAAUUCUCCUUUUCAUUUCAUCUCUUUGAGGUACCAAAGAAAAUGUCCAAUUUGACAGACAACCUAUGUAUUAAAUAUAAAAAAUGACAUUCUUCCAUUUUAUCCUCAGAUAAAAGCCCAACACUACAGUAAAAGUUAUUUCUGGUCCUGCACUGAUACUCAACUUUUACCCACAUGAUCUGCAGAAACUGAAUUCAACAAUGUUCCCUCUUUGUCCACUCAACAAGUAAACAAGUGAGUGCAAAAAUGCUUACUUUUCUCUGACAAACAUUUACUGGGUUUCUUGAAGGUGCGAGGCCCUGGGGACAAAAAGGUAAACCCAUUGCUUUUUGCCCUCAAGGCUUCCCAAGGCAGCUCCUGGUCUACAGACAUGGAAAUAAGUAACGUAUUUGUGUAACUAUCAUCACCUAAAACCCAAUGCUAUAAAUCCUACCAUGGAAACAGGAGGAAAGCGCUGUGAGAACACAGAGAAGGAACAAUAAAUUCUGCUCAGAAUUGAAAACGCUGGAACAGUUCUACUUCCUCACCAUUCCGUCUUGGGGAUCAGCCUAAAUCUGGAAGAUGAUAUGAAGUCCAAUCUUACUGGAAUGGUUUCUCCAGAUGAGAGCUGUUCAUGCUGACUCCAGAAAUCAGAGAAAAGUAUAUCUGCUCCCAGGGCUGGUACAAAUCCCAUUAACUACCGUUGCUAUCAAAGGCUUUACUGGAUAAUCUGUGGUGCCAUUUUAUGGUUUGUAUCUCUCCUCUUAGGACACAUGUUAGAGAGAGAGAGGAAUCACAGAAUCUCACAUUUACAAUAAGCCUUAGAAAUCAUUUAGUCCUAUCUCCUGUCUGGUCAUCAAAUUCCCCCAGGUCCAUGCCUGCCCAGAAUUCACUAUCUCUCUCCCAAGAACAGUCUGUGCUACUGUCAGGCAACUCGAACCCUUAGAAAAGUUUCCUUGAACUAAAACAAGAACCCUUCCAUUGGUUCAGCAGAAAAACAUAUGCAAUGCCAACAAUAUGACUCAUGCUAGUUGGUUUUAUAUAAAGAUGAAUAAACUGGGACACCCCACCCCCUUGGCAAAGAACACACAGAAAUUUUUUUUAAUUAAAUAUCAAACUUCUUUUGGAUACUGUGUAUGAAAGAGACAGGGAAAAGCUGACCAAUUAAAAAGCCCAGGAUG
This is a non-coding RNA of Sus scrofa (pig), 1897 nucleotides long. The record is from RefSeq and is a predicted model, not a curated record. Lineage: Eukaryota; Metazoa; Chordata; Mammalia; Artiodactyla; Suidae.